AUUGAACGCUGGCGGCAUGCCUUACACAUGCAAGUCGAACGGUAACAGGUUAAGCUGACGAGUGGCGAACGGGUGAGUAAUAUAUCGGAACGUGCCCAGUCGUGGGGGAUAACUGCUCGAAAGAGCAGCUAAUACCGCAUACGACCUGAGGGUGAAAGCGGGGGAUCGCAAGACCUCGCGCGAUUGGAGCGGCCGAUAUCAGAUUAGGUAGUUGGUGGGGUAAAGGCCCACCAAGCCAACGAUCUGUAGCUGGUCUGAGAGGACGACCAGCCACACUGGGAUUGGGCAACGGCCCAGACUCCAACGGGAGGCAGCGUUGGGGAAUUUUGGACAAGGGGCGCAAGCCUGAUCCAGCCAUGCCGAGGGCGGGAAGAAGGCCUUCGGGUUGUAAACCGCUUUUGUCAGGGAAGAAAAGGUUCUGGUUAAUACCUGGGACUCAUGACGGUACCUGAAGAAUAAGCACCGGCUAACUACGUGCCAGCCGCCGCCGUAA
This 493-nucleotide ribosomal RNA is filed under the name uncultured bacterium. RNAcentral describes it as "partial 16S ribosomal RNA". It matches the Rfam family "Bacterial small subunit ribosomal RNA", at positions 29 to 523 of the family's 1533-position model. The record is from RNAcentral.